AAUACAUUGUUUCUUGUUAAAAGCAUAAGACUUUGAAAUGUCUCUGUGUUGCAGAUAUGUAGAUGUUCUGAGCCAUAAUUUUUGGAAAAUUCUUUCAAAGAAAAGGAAAUCUACUGGACAAAUAGCAUGAUUAAUGGGGAUCUAGUGACAAAAUAAUCUGCCCUAAUUGGAUUUGUGAUGUUUUUGCAACUUGAAAUUAGCUUCAAAAUCCAACAAUAAUACGAAAGAAUGUUCAGUAUCACGAAUCAAAUUAAAACCAUAAUUAAAUCACCUCCUUUCAUUAGGGUAGCUACUAUAAAAAAAAAGUAAAACAAAACAGAAAAUAGCAACUGUCGGCAAAGAUGUGGAGAAAUUGGAACCCUUGUGAAACCAUCCCACAGUGUUGACAAGAAUUGCAUGCUGGGUUCUGGACAGAAAUAGUUCCAAUUAAGUACUAAUCAGUCUGCACUUGGGCCCACUUACUCGUUGUUAAAAGUCAUGUAGCCCUGGAUGCUGACCAUGUACAUCUGCAUUGUUCCUAUAGAUAAGAUCUCUGACAUUAGAAUCAUAAGGCUUUUGUUUAAGGAUCACUUAUGAUGUUUUUCACACCCCAAAUUCCAGCAGCCAGUUUGAAGACUCCCACAGAGUAAUGGGAUCAAUAUGAGAAUACAGCUUCUUCAUCUCCCUAUCUCAUGACUUCACCCUCUACUCUUCCAACCAAUCAGUGAUCUCCACAUUGCAGCCCAUUCCAACACUCUUAAAAACCCCUACCCCCAAAUGCCUCAGGGAGACAGAUUUGAGGUUUCUUCUCAUCUCAUUUAGUGACCCUAUGAUUAAACCCCUUUCCUUGCUACAACCUGGUGUCUCAGCUUAUUAUUUGCUGUGUGCAUGGGGCAAUGAACCUAUUUCAGUUACACUUGUGCACUGUUGGCAAGAAGGUAAAAUGGUACAGCCACUAUGGAAAAUGGUAUGAAAGUUUCUCCAAAAAUUAAAAAUAGAAUUCUCAUGUAACCCAGCAGUCCCACUUCUGGGCAUAUAUAUC
Molecule: long non-coding RNA, 1021 nt
Filed under: Homo sapiens (human)
Lineage: Eukaryota; Metazoa; Chordata; Mammalia; Primates; Hominidae
Description: LHRI_LNC1394.1
Source: RNAcentral